CAGCCGCCUCGGUAAUGCGUAGGUGGCAAGCGUUGUCCGGAAUUAUUGGGCGUAAAGCGCGCGCAGGCGGAUCAGUUAGUCUGUCUUAAAAGUUCGGGGCUUAACCCCGUGAUGGGAUGGAAACUGCUGAUCUAGAGUAUCGGAGAGGAAAGUGGAAUUCCUAGUGUAGCGGUGAAACGCGUAGAUAUUAGGAAGAACACCAGUGGCGAAGGCGACUUUCUGGACGAAAACUGACGCUGAGGCGCGAAAGCCAGGGGAGCGAACGGGAUUAGAUACCCGUGUAGUCCCUGUCUCUACACAU
Molecule: ribosomal RNA, 301 nt
Filed under: uncultured bacterium
Lineage: Bacteria
Description: partial 16S ribosomal RNA
Rfam family: Bacterial small subunit ribosomal RNA
Source: RNAcentral